ACCAAACAAAAUCUAUCAACACAACAACACAUGUCGACCAACUAUAUACUUAGAAGACAAACCGACGAUUAACCCACCACGAUAGCUAAUCCCAAUCCGGCGCGACGUCGAGAACGGCGGAAUCGCACCCUCGUCCGGCCUCCUCGCGAUGCUACGACGACGAACGCACACUCGAACGGCACCGCGGUGCGACGUCGGCGAAACUCCAACACCACCCAAGCUCCUCCUCCGCACGUACGGCCAAGCUCAA
This 250-nucleotide long non-coding RNA is filed under the name Ananas comosus (pineapple). Its description in RNAcentral is "long non-coding RNA (ACOM_LNC026258)". Lineage: Eukaryota; Viridiplantae; Streptophyta; Magnoliopsida; Poales; Bromeliaceae. The record is from RNAcentral.